Molecule: ribosomal RNA, 253 nt
Filed under: uncultured bacterium
Lineage: Bacteria
Description: partial 16S ribosomal RNA
Rfam family: Bacterial small subunit ribosomal RNA
Source: RNAcentral
GACAGAGGGGGCAAGCGUUGCUCGGAAUCACUGGGCGUAAAGGGCGCGUAGGCGGGAUGGCAAGUCGGUCGUGAAAUCCUUCGGCUCAACCGAAGAACGUCGGCCGAUACUGCCGUUCUUGAGGGAUGCAGAGGAGAUUGGAAUUCCCGGUGUAGCGGUGAAAUGUGUAGAGAUCGGGAGGAACACCGGUGGCGAAGGCGGGUCUCUGGGCAUCUCCUGACGCUGAGGCGCGAAAGCGUGGGGAGCGAACGGG